UGGGGAAUAUUGGACAAUGGGCGAAAGCCUGAUCCAGCCAUGCCGCGUGUGUGAAGAAGGUCUUAUGGUUGUAAAGCACUUUAAGCGAGGAGGAGGGUACUGGUAUUAAUACUACCAGGUACUGGACGUUACUCGCAGAAUAAGCACCGGCUAACUCUGUGCCAGCAGCCGCGGUAAUACAGAGGGUGCGAGCGUUAAUCGGAUUUACUGGGCGUAAAGCGUGCGUAGGCGGCUAAUUGAGUCGGAUGUGAAAUCCCCGAGCUUAACUUGGGAAUUGCAUUCGAUACUGGUUAGCUAGAGUGUGGGAGAGGAUGGUAGAAUUCCAGGUGUAGCGGUGAAAUGCGUAGAGAUCUGGAGGAAUACCGAUGGCGAAGGCAGCCAUCUGGCCUAAUACUGACGCUGAGGUACGAAAGCAUGGGGAGCAAACAGG
Molecule: ribosomal RNA, 430 nt
Filed under: Pseudomonadota bacterium
Lineage: Bacteria; Pseudomonadati; Pseudomonadota
Description: Proteobacteria bacterium partial 16S ribosomal RNA
Rfam family: Bacterial small subunit ribosomal RNA
Source: RNAcentral